This 222-nucleotide unclassified non-coding RNA is filed under the name uncultured Gammaproteobacteria bacterium. RNAcentral describes it as "contains 16S-23S intergenic spacer region". It matches the Rfam family "Bacterial small subunit ribosomal RNA", at positions 976 to 1197 of the family's 1533-position model. The record is from RNAcentral. Lineage: Bacteria; Pseudomonadati; Pseudomonadota; Gammaproteobacteria.
UGCCUUUGACAUCCUCGGAAUCCCGCAGAGAUGCGGGAGUGCCUUCGGGAACCGAGUGACAGGUGCUGCAUGGCUGUCGUCAGCUCGUGUCGUGAGAUGUUGGGUUAAGUCCCGUAACGAGCGCAACCCUUGUCCCUAGUUGCCAGCGGUUCGGCCGGGAACUCUAGGGAGACUGCCGGUGACAAACCGGAGGAAGGUGGGGAUGACGUCGGAGGAAUUCCA